GGGCCCGUAGCUCAGCUGGUCAGAGCAGCGGACUCAUAAUCCGUUGGUCCCUGGUUCGAAUCCAGGCGGGCCCA
Molecule: transfer RNA, 74 nt
Filed under: Actinomycetes bacterium
Lineage: Bacteria; Bacillati; Actinomycetota; Actinomycetes
Also listed under: 8 other names
Description: Actinobacteria bacterium tRNA-Met
Rfam family: tRNA
About the family: Transfer RNA (tRNA) molecules are approximately 80 nucleotides in length. Their secondary structure includes four short double-helical elements and three loops (D, anti-codon, and T loops).
Source: RNAcentral